CAAACAUAAGCCUAAUUUACAAAACUAGGAAUUUAAUGUCUCCCAUUUUACUUUUAAGCACUGACGAUAAGCAGUCCUUACACUUUCCUCACAGCAUGAUCUCUCAGAAAGGAAGGAGGAGAAGAACCAUGAAUUCAUGUUCAACCUCUGCAGCAGGACAUGAAAGCCAAAAGCCAUGCGUAGAGGUUGGUGUGGAACACUCAUUUGAGCAAGAAAAUCAAAGUAAUUUACGUUUUAAAAGGAUCUUGAGGCGACUUAGUCUAUGAACCUCGACCUCGGACCUUCAUCGCCGAGGGUAAUAAGAGGCUAGUUGCCAGGUUAUAAGCGUUUUAUUCCAAUAAAUUAUAAACACAUGAUGUAGACGCAAAAAUGAAAAACUUGGAAUUCAGUGGACGUCUUGAAUUCUGCGUAGAGUUACCUGUUUUGAUCAUGUUUGGCUUUGCUUAAAAGCCCAAAAAAGACUAAGUAAGGUCUUCUUUUGGACUUUAGUUCGCUUCAAAGCUCAAAUUAAAAAAGCUUACGAAAGGAUAAUGUAUAUUCAUAUUGCUGUGGAUCCAACUUCAUUCUAGUGUGUGUCAGUUGUUUA
This is a long non-coding RNA of Olea europaea var. sylvestris, 586 nucleotides long. RefSeq lists it as uncharacterized. Lineage: Eukaryota; Viridiplantae; Streptophyta; Magnoliopsida; Lamiales; Oleaceae. The record is from RefSeq and is a predicted model, not a curated record. The transcript has 2 exons.